GGUUCCUUAGAUCGUACAUACUACAUGGAUAACUGUAGUAAUUCUAGAGCUAAUACAUGCCACUAUGCCCUGACCCGCAAGGGGAUGGGUGGAUUUAUUAGAACAGAACCAACCAGGGAUAGUUUCGGCUAUCCCUGUUGUACUCUGUGAUGACUCUGGAUAACUUCACUGAUCGCAGUCGGCCUUGUGUCGGCGACGGAUCUUUCAAAUAUCUGCCCUAUCAACUGUCGAUGGUAGGUGACCUGCCUACCAUGGUGAUAACGGGUAACGGGGAAUCAGGGUUCGAUUCCGGAGAGGGAGCCUGAGAAACGGCUACCACUUCCAAGGAAGGCAGCAGGCGCGAAAAUUACCCACUCCCGGCACGGGGAGGUAGUGACGAAAAAUACGAAUACGGGACUCAAUCGAGGCUCCGUAAUUCGAAUGAGUACACUUUAAAUCCUUUAACGAGGACCAAUUGGAGGGCAAGUCUGGUGCCAGCAGCCGCGGUAACUCCAGCUCCAAAAGCGUAUAUUAAAGUUGCUGCAGUUAAAAAGCUCGUAGUUGGAUCUGGGUUGUGUGGUCACAUACCGUUGCUCGUUCUACUGUCUUUGAUUACGAUCAAGACGGGAGUUCGGGUCGGUGUAGUGACCGUGCAACCUUUCAGUCGUGUCUGUGUAAACAGGUGUUAGCUUGGUCAAUAGGUUCGCCCUAUUGGCCUGCUAGCAUGCUUCCG
Molecule: ribosomal RNA, 712 nt
Filed under: Urogonimus macrostomus
Lineage: Eukaryota; Metazoa; Platyhelminthes; Trematoda; Diplostomida; Leucochloridiidae
Description: SSU rRNA
Rfam family: Eukaryotic small subunit ribosomal RNA
Source: RNAcentral